Molecule: long non-coding RNA, 1076 nt
Filed under: Pogonomyrmex barbatus (red harvester ant)
Lineage: Eukaryota; Metazoa; Arthropoda; Insecta; Hymenoptera; Formicidae
Description: uncharacterized LOC105428568, transcript variant X1
Source: RNAcentral
GGUAUGCCUUGACCGCGUGUGCGAUUUUCACAGAGUAUUUUGGGCGAGCAGUGAACAGUGAUGGAAUUUAAUAUCUCCGUUGGGAGCGAGUUAGAAGUGAAAAUCUAUGACGUAUUAAUGACGUCAUAUGUACUAUUGGAACGCUUCGAAGUGCCAAGUGGACCGGAUAAAACGACGUUCCAAACAAUUCGGAGCAUUUGUAGCGCUAAGUGGACCGCACUCAUUAAGGUCCAUCUACAAUGGAGUAAGACUGCACGAAAAGGAACCAAUCACAGAUGAUGCUGGUAAUAAGACAAGGCGUGCGAAAAAUAUAUUUGCCGAUGACUGUGUCAACAUACAUUGUACAAGUGCAUUUUGUGCAAUAUAAUUUGUAAAUGAUAUAUGAAUAAAUGAAUGAUGAAUAUUGUGUGGCAUUGAUGAUAUUGAAGAAUAUGAAGAUGUUGGAGUCAAAUUACAAUUAAAUAUUAAAAAGAACUUAUUGACAUUGUUAAAAUUAAUCCUUCGUGAGACAAACGACAAAAGACAUAUUCUGGCAAGAAAUUUAAUAAAAAACUUGCAUGGGCUUCUGUGGCUGCAAUGCUCGGAGAUAUGUCUGAUCCAGAUGCUGAAAAGGAACUUUAUAAGAUACGACAGACGGAAAGGAACGACGAAAAGUUAUUACCUUAAAAUGUUAUCCUUAAAGUUAUCCUUAAAAGGAAAAUCUGGGUGCACAACCCAUAUAUGUUCCUAAAUGGCAAUUGAAAUAUGUGAUAGUUUUCUUUCGUAUAGUUAUUAUAUCAUAUCAUAUCUCAAAAAUAUGUUGAUUAUCUAUCUCAAGUAUGAUGUCAAAACAUUAUCAUUCAGAGCAAUAUUAUAAAUUAUAUAUUAUUGUUGACAGAAGUAACAGUAAUUAUAUGAAGACUACAUCUUUAAAAUCAAAUCAAUGUAGUCAACCGCACAAUUUCAAAUAUUUGUGUCACAAAUUAUGAAACUCACAAUUAUAUUACAACUACACAGACGCUAACUGUGCACUAGAUUUGUAUGCAUCAUUAUCUAGUAUGUGUUGCAUUAUGUGAUGAAUAAUAUAAAAAAUAUGC